RNAcentral lists this long non-coding RNA (1818 nucleotides) under Mytilus galloprovincialis (Mediterranean mussel). The record is from RNAcentral. Lineage: Eukaryota; Metazoa; Mollusca; Bivalvia; Mytilida; Mytilidae.
UCUGAUCAUGAUCGGGUAAAUAGUUUGUCCUUAAUGAAUGGGAAAUAUAUCAUAUUUUGCUGUUUCAUUUCUAGCUUAUUUGAACCAAACUGCUCAUUUUCAUCAGAAUCAAUGGGUAAAUAUAUAGGUCUUAAAAUGAUUGGAAAAUUCUUUAUUAUUUCUUUGUGUCAUAUUGGAAAAAAGGAAAUGUUUGCUCCCUACAUACAUUUAAAGCUUUACAAACUUAGUAGGCCUGAAUGCAGUGGCGGAUCCAGGGGGGGGGGUUCCGGGGGUGCGCACACCCCCUUUAUUUUUGCCGAUCAAUGCAUUUGUAUCGGGACAUAUGUUUUGCACCCCCCCUUUGCCCUGGGUGCCCUGGGUUAGCACCCCCCCUUUCGAAAAUUCCUGCAUCCGCCCUGCCUGAAUGCAUAUUCAUCAUGUAAGUAUUAAAUUUAAAUUUUCUGAGCUUGAAUUUGUUAUUAAAUGCUCUAUUAUUUAUUGUAAACAUUUUUUUUUGUAUAUUUUGUUUUUUAUGUGUUCAACCAAUAUGCAUCUCAGUUAGAUUUGAUAAUGAUAAUGAUUAUUGAAGGCUGCUUAUUAUAAACGUCCAGCAGCAAAUUGAAUGCAUAAACAGGACAAGAACAUGUUUAAAUAAUAUGAAUAUUAACCCUUUUAUGUACUAGACCAACAUACUGAGCCUGAAAUUAAAAGUGCAAGUUCACAAUUUGACACGAUGCAGAAAGAUGUGCAUCACCCUACCUAGGCAUAUUAUUCAAUCCCUUCAGCUGACUAGUCUUUGCUCUUCAUCCUUAAUGCUGCAUGCUUAGCGGAGAAGCAGCAAUUUUCAAUUUUAAAGUCUUUGGUAUGACCAAUCUGACUUCAAACCCAAGACCUCCCAGAUUUAGAAUAAUGAUAUUGGCUUUAUGUAGAACAAUACUGUAUAACAACAUAGUUUUGCAUUUAGCACUUUUGAUACGACUUUGCAAUGAUUUAUUUUUGAGAUUUCUUAACUUGGUUUCCAUAUAAGAGAAGAUCCAAGUUAGAAAUUUUGACAACAAUUUAAAUUCAAGUUAAUUUUCUACUAGUCAGUUAACAGUAACCAAAAUAUUGUAGGAUUUAAGAAAGUGUUAAAUUUUUUUUUUUUUACCCUUAAGUUUGAAAAUAAAACUGCUAUAAAUUUUUAAAUGACAUUGAGCAUGUUAACAGGUCUUUAAACUUCUUGUCAUGAAGGAAAACUGUCAAAAUAAUCUCCCUUUAAAAUUUUUGUCAUUAAUAUUUAAUAUUGAUAUUUAGAUUAAAGCUACAGCCAUACCAAAUAUAUAUUUUGUCUAAAGAUGUCUUGCACAAAUCUGUGUAAUUUCUUGAAAGUUGUCUGCUCUUUGGUCAGGUUGUUGUCUCUUUGACACAUUCCCCAUUUUAGAGUAAAAUGAUUGUUAAUGUCAAAUAUGGCAAUUUGUUUUGUAAACAUGUUGAUGACAUCAUACUGAAACUAAAAAAUGACCUAUUUUUUAUUGGAUAACCGUAUCAUAUUAUUAUAUUCAGACUUCAAUAAAUACAUAAUGUGUAAAGAUUUGUGAACUUUUCCAUUAAUGUAACUUCAAUGGUCAAACAAUGACUUGUCAUACAUCCAUGGAUAUUUUUUUCUAAAUCAUUUAAGAUUUCAAGGUGAGAUAAUGUAAUUGAUUGAAUGUUUUAGGUAGCCAACAUUUCCACAAUUUUUCUAGUCUUUAUAUUCGUUGUCUCUUAUUUAUAUUUAUUGUUUAAAUCUCACAUUUUUACAUAUAUUUACAUGUCAUACAAUUAUGCAUUCCAUAAACAUUUUAUUACACAUUAAAUCUU